GAAAUGCGAUAAGUAAUGUGAAUUGCAGAAUUCAGUGAAUCAUCGAAUCUUUGAACGCACAUUGCGCCCGCCAGUACUCUGGCGGGCAUGCCUGUCCGAGCGUCAUUUCAACCCUCAAGCCCCCCCCCCUCCGCCUUCCAGCGGAGGAGGCUUGGUGUUGGGCGUCGGCCGUCCUUCAGUGAUGGCCGUGCCCCAAAUACAGUGGCGGACUCGCUGUUGCCUCCUCUGCGUAGUAAUUCCAACCUCGCACCGGAAAGACAGUGGGCCCACGCCGUAAAAACCCCCCCUAAUUCUUCUGAAUGUUGACCUCGGAUCAGGUAGGAAUACCCGCUGAACUUAA
This 340-nucleotide unclassified non-coding RNA is filed under the name uncultured Nectriaceae. RNAcentral's name for it is "sequence contains ITS1". The stretch from base 1 to 105 matches the Rfam family "5.8S ribosomal RNA", at positions 50 to 154 of the family's 154-position model. Lineage: Eukaryota; Fungi; Ascomycota; Sordariomycetes; Hypocreales; Nectriaceae. The record is from RNAcentral.